UACGUAGGGUGCGAGCGUUAAUCGGAAUUACUGGGCGUAAAGCGUGCGUAGGUGGUUCCUCAAGUCCGUUGUGAAAGCCCCGGGCUCAACCUGGGAAUGGCAGUGGAAACUAGGGGACUGGAAUCUGGCAGAGGGGGGUGGAAUGCCGCGUGUAGCAGUGAAAUGCGUAGAGAUCGGGAGGAACACCGGUGGCGAAGGCGGGUCGCUGGGCAUGGUCCGACGCUGAGGCGCGAAAGCGUGGGGAGCGAACAGG
This 253-nucleotide ribosomal RNA is filed under the name uncultured bacterium. Its description in RNAcentral is "partial 16S ribosomal RNA". It matches the Rfam family "Bacterial small subunit ribosomal RNA", at positions 524 to 776 of the family's 1533-position model. The record is from RNAcentral.